GAUGAACGCUGGCGGCGUGCCUCAAACAUGCAAGUCGAGCGGGGCUAUGUAAUACCGCAAGGUAGAACAUAGCCUAGCGGCGAACGGGUGAGUAACACGUGGGUAACCUGCCUGGAAGACAGGGAUAACGAUUCGAAAGGGUCGCUAAUACCUGAUAAUAUCCUUUCAUCGCAUGGUGAUAGGAAGAAAGGGGAAACCCGCUUUCAGAUGGGCCCGCGUCCCAUCAGCUAGUUGGUAAGGUAAAGGCUUACCAAGGCGACGACGGGUAGCCGGUCUGAGAGGAUGUACGGCCACACUGGGACUGAGAUACGGCCCAGACUCCUACGGGAGGCAGCAGUUGGGAAUCUUAGGCAAUGGACGAAAGUCUGACCUAGCGACGCCGCGUGAGGGAAGAAGGCCUUGGGUGUAAACCUCUGUCAGUGGGGAAGAAGUAAGUGACGGUACCCCAAGAGGAGGCCCCUGCUAACUACGUG
This 473-nucleotide ribosomal RNA is filed under the name uncultured bacterium. RNAcentral's name for it is "bacterial SSU rRNA". It matches the Rfam family "Bacterial small subunit ribosomal RNA", at positions 28 to 507 of the family's 1533-position model. The record is from RNAcentral.